Molecule: ribosomal RNA, 639 nt
Filed under: Meira geulakonigae
Lineage: Eukaryota; Fungi; Basidiomycota; Exobasidiomycetes; Exobasidiales; Brachybasidiaceae
Description: eukaryotic LSU rRNA
Rfam family: Eukaryotic large subunit ribosomal RNA
Source: RNAcentral
GCAUAUCAAUAAGCGGAGGAAAAGAAACUAACAAGGAUUCCCUUAGUAACGGCGAGUGAAGCGGGAAUAGCUCAAAUUUGAAAGCUGGCAGCAAUGUCCGCGUUGUAAUCUCGAGAAGUGUUUUCCGUGCUGGACCAUAGAUAUGUUCCUUGGAAUAGGAUGUCAUAGAGGGUGAGAACCCCGUACAUGCUAUGGACGCCCAGUGCUUUGUGAUACACUUUCGAAGAGUCGAGUUGUUUGGGAAUGCAGCUCAAAAUGGGUGGUAAAUUCCAUCUAAAGCUAAAUAUUGGGGAGAGACCGAUAGCAAACAAGUACCGUGAGGGAAAGAUGAAAAGCACUUUGGAAAGAGAGUUAAACAGUACGUGAAAUUGUCAAAAGGGAAGCGCUUCAAGUCAGAUAUGGCUUUGAAUGUUCAGCCUUUAGGUGUAUUCAUUUUUUGUCAGGCCAGCAUCGAUUUUGGACGUCGGAUAAGGGUAGAAGGAACGUGGCAUACUUUCGGGUAUGUGUUAUAGCCUUUUACUGGAUACGACGAUCGGGAUCGAGGUUCGCAGCACACCCUUUUUGGGCAGGUCUUCGGACACUUUUGUGCUUAGGAUGCUGGCGUAAUGGCUUGAAGCGACCCGUCUUGAAACACGGACC